RNAcentral lists this ribosomal RNA (1163 nucleotides) under Acinetobacter baumannii. RNAcentral describes it as "partial 23S ribosomal RNA". It matches the Rfam family "Bacterial large subunit ribosomal RNA", at positions 1 to 1207 of the family's 2925-position model. The record is from RNAcentral. Lineage: Bacteria; Pseudomonadati; Pseudomonadota; Gammaproteobacteria; Moraxellales; Moraxellaceae.
GUUGUAUAGUCAAGUAAUUAAGUGCAUGUGGUGGAUGCCUUGGCAGUCAGAGGCGAUGAAAGACGUGAUAGCCUGCGAAAAGCUCCGGGGAGGCGGCAAAUAUCCUUUGAUCCGGAGAUGUCUGAAUGGGGGAACCCACCUACUUUAAGGUAGGUAUUGCAACAUGAAUACAUAGUGUUGCAAGGCGAACGAGGGGAAGUGAAACAUCUCAGUACCCUUAGGAAAAGAAAUCAAUUGAGAUUCCCUCAGUAGCGGCGAGCGAACGGGGAUCAGCCCAUUAAGUUAUGUGUGUUUUAGUGGAACGCUCUGGGAAGUGCGAACGUAGAGGGUGAUAUUCCCGUACACGAAAGGGCACACAUAAUGAUGACGAGUAGGGCGAGGCACGUGAAACCUUGUCUGAAUAUGGGGGGACCAUCCUCCAAGGCUAAAUACUCCUGACUGACCGAUAGUGAACCAGUACCGUGAGGGAAAGGCGAAAAGAACCCCUGUGAGGGGAGUGAAAUAGAUCCUGAAACCGCAUGCAUACAAGCAGUGGGAGCACCUUCGUGGUGUGACUGCGUACCUUUUGUAUAAUGGGUCAGCGACUUAUAUUCAGUAGCNAGGUUAACCGUAUAGGGGAGCCGUAGAGAAAUCGAGUCUUAAUAGGGCGUUUAGUUGCUGGGUAUAGACCCGAAACCAGGCGAUCUAUCCAUGAGCAGGUUGAAGGUUGGGUAACACUAACUGGAGGACCGAACCCACUGUCGUUGAAAAGCCAGGGGAUGACUUGUGGAUAGGGGUGAAAGGCUAAUCAAGCCUGGUGAUAGCUGGUUCUCCCCGAAAGCUAUUUAGGUAGCGCCUCGGACGAAUACCAUAGGGGGUAGAGCACUGUUUCGGCUAGGGGGUCAUCCCGACUUACCAAACCGAUGCAAACUCCGAAUACCUAUGAGUACUAUCCGGGAGACAGACUGCGGGUGCUAACGUCCGUAGUCAAGAGGAAAACAAUCCAGACCGCCAGCUAAGGCCCCAAAAUCAUAGUUAAGUGGGAAACGAUGUGGGAAGGCAUAGACAGCUAGGAGGUUGGCUUAGAAGCAGCCACCCUUUAAAGAAAGCGUAAUAGCUCACUAGUCGAGUCGGCCUGCGCGGAAGAUGUAACGGGGCUAAAACUAUGUGCCGAAGCUGCGGAU